This 468-nucleotide ribosomal RNA is filed under the name uncultured bacterium. Its description in RNAcentral is "partial 16S ribosomal RNA". It matches the Rfam family "Bacterial small subunit ribosomal RNA", at positions 28 to 507 of the family's 1533-position model. The record is from RNAcentral.
GACGAACGCUGGCGGCGUGCUUAACACAUGCAAGUCGAACGGAAAGGCCCUGCUUUUGUGGGGUGCUCGAGUGGCGAACGGGUGAGUAACACGUGAGUAACCUGCCCUUGACUUUGGGAUAACUUCAGGAAACUGGGGCUAAUACCGGAUAGGAGCUCCUGCUGCAUGGUGGGGGUUGGAAAGUUUCGGCGGUUGGGGAUGGACUCGCGGCUUAUCAGCUUGUUGGUGGGGUAGUGGCUUACCAAGGCUUUGACGGGUAGCCGGCCUGAGAGGGUGACCGGCCACAUUGAGACUGAGAUACGGCCCAGACUCCGACGGGAGGCAGCAGUGGGGAAAAUUGCACAAUGGGCGGAAGCCUGAUACAGCAACGCCGCGUGCGGGAUGACGGCCUUCGGGUUGUAAACCGCUUUCGCCUGUGACGAAGCGUGAGUGACGGUAAUGGGUAAAGAAGCACCGGCUAACUACGUG